This 701-nucleotide ribosomal RNA is filed under the name Mucor moelleri. RNAcentral describes it as "eukaryotic LSU rRNA". It matches the Rfam family "Eukaryotic large subunit ribosomal RNA", at positions 42 to 648 of the family's 3401-position model. Lineage: Eukaryota; Fungi; Mucoromycota; Mucoromycetes; Mucorales; Mucoraceae. The record is from RNAcentral.
AUCAAUAAGCGGAGGAAAAGAAAAUAACAAUGAUUUCCCCAGUAACGGCGAGUGAAGAGGAAAGAGCUCAAAGUUGGAACCUGUUUGGCUUAGCUAAACCGGAUUGUAAACUGUAGAAGUGUUUUCCUGACACGCCUGGUAAAAAAGUCCUUUGGAACAGGGCAUCAUAGAGGGUGAGAAUCCCGUCUUUGGCCAGAGCUGUUGUCUUUUGUGAUACAUUUUCAAAGAGUCAGGUUGUUUGGGAAUGCAGCCUAAAUUGGGUGGUAAAUCUCACCUAAAGCUAAAUAUUUGCGAGAGACCGAUAGCGAACAAGUACCGUGAGGGAAAGAUGAAAAGAACUUUGAAAAGAGAGUUAAACAGUAUGUGAAAUUGUUAAAAGGGAACCGUUUGGAGCCAGACUGGCUUGACUGUAAUCAAUCUAGGCUUCGGCCUGGAUGCACUUGCGGUCUAUGCCUGCCAACGACAGUUUUAUUUGGGGGAAAAAAUUAUUGGGAAUGUGGCCUUUCGAGGUGUUAUAGCCCUUUAAAAAAUACCCUGGAUUGGACUGAGGAACGCAGUGAAUGCCUUUAGGCAAGAUUGCUGGGUGCUUUCGCUAAUAAAUGCUAGAAUUUCUGCUUCGGGUGGUGCUAGUGUUUAAAGGUGGAACUCGCUUAGUAUAUUUUUUAUUCGCUUAGGUUGUUGGCUUAAUGACUCUAAAUGAC